Molecule: long non-coding RNA, 848 nt
Filed under: Brassica napus (rape)
Lineage: Eukaryota; Viridiplantae; Streptophyta; Magnoliopsida; Brassicales; Brassicaceae
Description: long non-coding RNA (BNAP_LNC001105)
Source: RNAcentral
CCAUCGAAACCUGCCUCAGUAAAUAUGGCUUCGUCACAACUUGUGUCAUCUAGAGUUUUCAUUAACAUUGAACAUAAACGAUUACAAAGCUGGACGAUCGAAGAAAGGUAAAUCCCCGGAAACUGAGGUGCAGAAUACACGCAUUAUCCAGAAGCAAAGCCCUAGACUAGGGAAGAAGAGAAAAUUACACAAACAAUCCGAUACAACACAAAGCAUAAGAGAUUAAAAUCCAAACAGAAAAAGACAAGAAGAAGCUUACUCUUAAAAAAGACACAAAUCAACCAAGAGCAGAGACCAAACUGUUUUUUUUUUUUUUAUCAAAAGACCAAACUGUUUUUUAAGUUUGCUAAAACAGGAAAAUAAAUAAUCAUUUAUUUUUGCUUAUGAUAAUGAGUAGAUCUGUUAGGUCGUUUUCUUGUGAUCUUCGAGAAAUUCGUACCUCAAACUAGAUUAACUGUAAAAUUGUCUUUACUGAAAGUGUGAAUGUUUCGAUGAUUAUCUCAUUGAUCACAAGAGUGUAUUUAUACAAGUGUUCAUGUCUAUCGAUAUCUACCGUAUCUUAACUACGUAAAGAUAUGCAUGAGAAUAUAGUUUCGAAAAUCUCUCUCCAUACAUCGUAAUUCAUCUUGUCUAGAUUCAGUACGAUAGGAAUGUACCCACGAAUCUGACUGAUGCGAAAUGGUUUGUCAGAGAUGAGAGGAAUGUCAUCAGCCAUGGCGAUAUUGGUGAAAGAAAGGGGGUUAGAGAGGUGAAAGACGGGAAAAGAGGAAAGAAGAGGAUAUCGCAGCCGAUUGGCUAAUUUUGAGGAAGCUAAGAUCGAAAAGCUUCUGAUACCAUGAAAGUGUGAA